UGAGCCGGCCUGGUGGCCGCGGCGUGGCGUGACCACGUCGAGGAAGGUCGGGGCUCCGAAGGACAGGGUGCUGGUGCGAGCCAGGACGGGGUGACCUGUUGGUUCAGGGCAACAGAGAGCAGACCGCCGAUGGCCCGGGCAACCGGGCACAGGCAAGGGUGAAACGGUGCGGUAAGAGCGCACCAGCGUCGGGAGCGAUCCCGGCGGCUUGGCAACCCCCACCCGGAGCAAGGUCAAACGUGGGACGGCCGGCCCGGCCAGUGUCCCCAGGUAGACCGCACAGAUGGAUGGCCACCCCCUCGGCAACGAGGGACAUAACCCCGCCUACAAGCCGGCUCACCGU
Molecule: RNase P RNA, 343 nt
Filed under: Acidimicrobiales bacterium
Lineage: Bacteria; Bacillati; Actinomycetota; Acidimicrobiia; Acidimicrobiales
Description: RNase P RNA component class A
Rfam family: Bacterial RNase P class A
About the family: Ribonuclease P (RNase P) is a ubiquitous endoribonuclease, found in archaea, bacteria and eukarya as well as chloroplasts and mitochondria.
Source: RNAcentral